Molecule: ribosomal RNA, 433 nt
Filed under: uncultured bacterium
Lineage: Bacteria
Description: partial 16S ribosomal RNA
Rfam family: Bacterial small subunit ribosomal RNA
Source: RNAcentral
AACGAACGCUGGCGGCAUGCCUAACACAUGCAAGUCGAACGAGACAUUCGGGUCUAGUGGCGCACGGGUGCGUAACGCGUGUGAACCUGCCCUUAGGUUCGGAAUAACUCCCCGAAAGGGGGGCUAAUAACGGAUAAUGUCUUUGGACAAAAGAUGUAUCGCCUUUGGAUGGGCCCGCGUUGGAUGAGCUAGAUGGUAGGGUAAAAGCCUACCAAGGUGACGAUCCAUAGCUGGUCUGAGAGGAUGAUCAGCCACACUGGGACUGAGCCACGGCCCAGACUCCUACGCGAGGCAGCAGUGGGGAAUAUUGGACCAUGGGCGAAAGCCUGAUCCAGCAAUGCAGCGUGAGUGAUGAAGGCCUUAGGGUUGUAAAGCUCUUUUACCCGGGAUGCUAAUGACAGUACCGGGAGAAUAAGCUCCGGCUAACUCCGUG